GAUGAACGCUAGCGGCAGGCCUAAUACAUGCAAGCUGAACGGUAACUUUUGUAGCAAGUACAGAAGCAAGAGUAGCGUAAGGGUGCGUAACACGUAUGCAAUCUGCCCUUAACUGGCGGAUAGCUCCCCGAAAGGGGAAUUAACCCGCCAUAGGAACUGGGAGUGGCAUCACUUCCUUUUUAAAACUCCGGUGGUUAAGGAUGAGCAUGCGGCUGAUUAGUUAGUUGGCGGGUAACGGCCACCAAG
Molecule: ribosomal RNA, 246 nt
Filed under: uncultured bacterium
Lineage: Bacteria
Description: partial 16S ribosomal RNA
Rfam family: Bacterial small subunit ribosomal RNA
Source: RNAcentral